This 519-nucleotide ribosomal RNA is filed under the name Triticum aestivum (bread wheat). RNAcentral describes it as "partial small subunit ribosomal RNA". The record is from RNAcentral. Lineage: Eukaryota; Viridiplantae; Streptophyta; Magnoliopsida; Poales; Poaceae.
AUGAUUAGAAAUGCUCAGAAAAAUAAGUUGAUCAUUGGCCUAGCCCCGGAUUUGAUCCCUCAUGGGGUUGCAGUGUUACAGUAUGCGGACGAUACCAUUAUUUGUAUGGAUCAUGGUAUAGAUAAGGCAGUUAACCUAAAGUUGCUGCUAUACAUGUUUGAAAUGAUGUCUGGUCUCAAAGUGAAUUUCCAAAAGAGUGAGAUCCUAACUGUUGGUGGAGAUGAGAAUAUCAUUAGAGAAUAUGUUGAGCUCUUUAACCAUGACAUUGGCAGUUUCCUAAUUAAAUACUUGGGGAUGCCAGUCAGUUACACCAACCUUAGAAAUUCAGACUGGGAGUUCAUCAUUAUUAAAUAUCUCAACAUGUUCGAGGCUUGGAUAGGCAAUGUUGCCUCAAUGGGGGGCAGGCUCACUUUACUUGAUUCUCUCCUCACCCAACUCUCUAUCUUCCAUAUGUCUAUGUGGCUCAUGAAUAAAACGUUCAUUGAAAAGUUGGAUAAGCAUAGACGGAGAUUCUUCUAG